GGGGCCCGCACAAGCGGUGAGCAUGUGGUUUAAUUCGUAAGCAACGCGAAGAACCUUACCUUGGCCUUUGACAUGCUGAGAACUUUCCAGAGAUGGAUUGGUGCCUUCGGGAACUCAGACACAGGUGCUGCAUGGCUGUCGUCAGCUCGUGUCGUGAGAUGUUGGGUUAAGUCCCGUAACGAGCGCAACCCUUGUCCUUAGUUACCAGCACGUAAUGGUGGGCACUCUAGAGGGACUGCCGGCGACAAGUCGGAGGAAGUGGGGAUGACGUCAAAUCAUCAUGCCCCUUAUGACCUGGGCUACACACGUGCUACAAUGGGCGGUACAAAGGGCUGCGAACCCGCGAGGGGGAGCGAAUCCCAAAAAGCCGCUCUCAGUUCGGAUUGCAGGCUGCAACUCGCCUGCAUGAAGCCGGAAUCGCUAGUAAUCGCGGAUCAGCAUGCCGCGGUCGAAUACGUUCCGGGCCUU
RNAcentral lists this ribosomal RNA (468 nucleotides) under uncultured Geobacillus sp. RNAcentral describes it as "bacterial SSU rRNA". It matches the Rfam family "Bacterial small subunit ribosomal RNA", at positions 916 to 1382 of the family's 1533-position model. Lineage: Bacteria; Bacillati; Bacillota; Bacilli; Caryophanales; Anoxybacillaceae. The record is from RNAcentral.